This is a non-coding RNA of Pelobates cultripes (western spadefoot toad), 2262 nucleotides long. NCBI's taxonomy places the organism in Eukaryota, Metazoa, Chordata, Amphibia, Anura, Pelobatidae. The record is from the annotation of a GenBank genome assembly.
UGAAAACAGUAGUAUUGGGAGUAAAUAUGUAAAACAACAUUUCCUACAGUUUUUUUUUUUUUUUGUUUACCAUGUUGAUUAGCUAUGUAAGUCAUGUCACAAAAUGGUGCCAAUAAGUGAGUGCUCAACAUUUUUGCAUUUCCUUUGAAAUGUGGCCGAUUUUUAUUCUGUAUAAAGCACCAACAGAUUUUGCAGCCCUGUACAUUAGGUAGACUAAAAAGCAAGAGUUGGAAGAGAAGGUACUGAGGAUCUUGCUCUGGAUUUAGCCUCAAGGUUACAUAAUUACACUAUUGAAUUAACCAUUUAAGUCAAAAUAGUAUUAUAUUUGACAAUUUAUGGAAUGAUUUAUCAAGUGAGAACAUGUGACCUUGUGUGUGCAAAGUGCUAAAUGUUGAGAAACAUUAUAUUGGUUUAUAUGGGGAUUUUACUUAUUUGACACAUUAUCCCAGAACAGUAUCUGUAUUUGCCUUGAUAAUUUCCCCCGUCAUAAGCUUUAAAUUAGUAGUAGUGCUAUUUUUAUGGGUCAUAAAAUUGCAUACCACCCAAAAGUUCAAGUGAACAAAAGGGGACACUUUUUCAUUUUAGUGGUGUGGGGUACGGUUGGCUGUUCUGAGGAAUAUUAGGUGAAUUACGAAUUACAAUUUAUGCAACUAAAAUAUAAUUUAGAACUAGAACCAUGUAUCUAAUAUACACAGACUGAUUUCUCGACACAUUACCGUAAAUUGUAUUGCUCUGGAGCUCUGUUAUACACUCAUUUGGGCCCUAAAUAGGGACAUUUGAGAGGUAUGAAAUUGCAGAUAUGAUCGCAGUACAUGUGACAAAGCUUUAACUAUAGCCUCUGUGUAUUUGUGAAGCACGUACACCAGAGUGCUAAAGGAUGCUGUGAAUUAACUUUGACAAUGGAAUAGGUAGCACAUGCUCUUCUGUUCAAAUAUAAAGCCUCCUAAAUUAAUAUGAUAGCUAGGCAUUAUGCAACAAAAAGACCUCAUGUGGUGCAGAUGAACUAGUCAUGUGAGUUUUUUAAAUUGUUAGUCUGUACUGUUCACAAUACUGCUAGUCCAAUAUAAAGACUGUUUUGAAUGCUCUGCAUACAAUAAGUAGAUUUAGAAGAAGAAAAAAAAACUACAUCUGAAUUUAAAAUGUAUGUCGUAAGAGAUGCAGAGAUGGAUAAUAAUCAAUGAUUAGAUACAAAUAAAAUGCAAAUGGCAGGGCUGGUGGCACUGUGCUCAUUAAACAAAAAGCUAUGUUAUUUUGGUAUACCAAUGAUUUUUGCCAUCUACCAGUUAUACCCCCCUCUGUUUCUACUUUCAGAAAUAUGGAGAUUUUAAGGUCCAGUUGUGUUUGACCAAGAACGUUACUGUAGACUGGCAUUCUGAAUCUCACAAUAUAAGUGUAAGCUUUCUUGUGAUGUUUUAUGAUGUGAAUUAACUAUACAUUUCACAUAGGCCAGACUUCUAACUUUCUAUAUAGCAGUGAGUAGGGGCUCGUAAUAAAAUGGAAAUUUUGUGUAACGAUUAUUGAUCAUUUAAUAGUUAUUUAACCCCUUAAGGACACAUGACGUGUGACAUGUCAUGAUUCCCUUUUAUUCCAGAAGUUUGGUCCUUAAGGGGUUAAAGGCAGCUGUAUGUUGAACUCUUUUAUUCUGGGGAUUAAGGAUCCACUGUCUAGUUUUUUAUUUAUUCACCGUGUAUUAUUAUUAUUAGCAUAUUUACAUAUCAUCAGUAUAUUCCGCAGCUCUUUACCAGGGGUAAGCAACCUUCAGCACUCCAGAUGUUGUGGAAUACAUCACUCUUUAUGUUCUUACAGCCAUAAUGCUGGCAAAGCAUCGGGGGAGAUGUAGUUAAGACAAUAUGGAGUGCUGAAAGCUGCUUACCCCUGGUCUAUACAAUCAAAGAAAAGGGGUAUUUGGAGAUUGAAUAUAUAUAUCGUUGGGUGUCUUGUUAAAGGACAUUUACUGGUAAGGUGUUCUCACCAGCAUUGAAACCUAAUUUUCCCUGUUCUAUGAUAUCCUAAAGUUUCUAGUAAUUAUACUCACCCAUCUAUUUGCCUUUAUUUAUACUUUCUACUUUUUCUACCUUGCUGGGAGCUGCCACUUUGUAAAUGUUGGUCCAUAUCUGUGGUUUGACCUUCUCUGGGCAUGUGCUUAGUCAUGCACACUCUACAGAUAAGCACAAGUCAUGCUUUCUAUUACAUGAGAUUGAUGUUCUAUCAAAUUCCCCUACCUGUGAAAAUUCCCUACCCUCGUCACAUCCGGUGAGGGGA